CCUCAAAUCAGGUAGGAUUACCCGCUGAACUUAAGCAUAUCAAUAAGCGGAGGAAAAGAAACUAACAAGGAUUCCCCUAGUAACUGCGAGUGAAGAGGGAAAAGCUCAAAUUUAAAAUCUGGCGGUCUUUGGCUGUCCGAGUUGUAAUUUAGAGAAGUGUUACCCGCGUUGGACCGUGUAUAAGUCUCCUGGAAUGGAGCGUCAUAGAGGGUGAGAAUCCCGUCUUUGACACGGACUACCAAGGCUUUGUGGUGCGCUCUCAAAGAGUCGUGUUGUUUGGGAAUGCAGCACUAAAUGGGUGGUAAAUUCCAUCUAAAGCUAAAUAUUGGCGAGAGACCGAUAGCGAACAAGUACCGUGAGGGAAAGAUGAAAAGAACUUUGGAAAGAGAGUUAAACAGUACGUGAAAUUGCUGAAAGGGAAACGCUUGAAGUCGGUCGCGUUGGCUAGGGAUCAACCUUGCUUUUGUGGGGUGUACUUCCUAAUCAACGGGUCAACAUCAGUUUUGAUCACUGGAAAAAGGCUAGUUGAAUGUGGCAUCUCCGGAUGUGUUAUAGCUUCUAGUCAUAUACAGUGGUUGGGACUGAGGAACUCAGCACGCCGCAAGGCCGGGUUUUAACCACGUACGUGCUUAG
This 633-nucleotide ribosomal RNA is filed under the name uncultured Basidiomycota. Its description in RNAcentral is "LSU rRNA". It matches the Rfam family "Eukaryotic large subunit ribosomal RNA", at positions 1 to 620 of the family's 3401-position model. The record is from RNAcentral. Lineage: Eukaryota; Fungi; Basidiomycota.